CGGCGGACGGGUGAGUAACACGUGGAUAACCUACCUAUAAGACUGGGAUAACUUCGGGAAACCGUAGCUAAUACCGGAUAAUAUAUUGAACCGCAUGGUUCAAUAGUGAAAGACGGUUUUGCUGUCACUUAUAGAUGGAUCCGCGUCGCAUUAGCUAGUUGGUAAGGUAACGGCUUACCAAGGCAACGAUGCGUAGCCGACCUUAGAGGGUGAUCGGCCACACUGGAACUGAGACACGGUCCAGACUCCUACGGGAGGCAGCAGCC
This 266-nucleotide ribosomal RNA is filed under the name uncultured Staphylococcus sp. Its description in RNAcentral is "partial 16S ribosomal RNA". It matches the Rfam family "Bacterial small subunit ribosomal RNA", at positions 96 to 355 of the family's 1533-position model. Lineage: Bacteria; Bacillati; Bacillota; Bacilli; Caryophanales; Staphylococcaceae. The record is from RNAcentral.